UACAGAGGGUGCGAGCGUUAAUCGGAAUUACUGGGCGUAAAGCGCACGUAGUCGGCUUUGCAAGUCGGUUGUGAAAUCCCCGGGCUUAACCUGGGAACUGCAUUUGUGACUGCAUGGCUGGAGUGCGGCAGAGGGGGAUGGAAUUCCGCGUGUAGCAGUGAAAUGCGUAGAUAUGCGGAGGAACACCGAUGGCGAAGGCAGCUCGCUGGGACGGUACUGACGCUGAGACGCGAAAGCGUGGGGAGCAAACAGG
Molecule: ribosomal RNA, 253 nt
Filed under: uncultured bacterium
Lineage: Bacteria
Description: partial 16S ribosomal RNA
Rfam family: Bacterial small subunit ribosomal RNA
Source: RNAcentral